UAGGGAAUCUUCCACAAUGGACGCAAGUCUGAUGGAGCAACGCCGCGUGAGUGAAGAAGGUCUUCGGAUCGUAAAGCUCUGUUGUUGGUGAAGAAGGAUAGAGGCAGUAACUGGUCUUUAUUUGACGGUAAUCAACCAGAAAGUCACGGCUAACUACGUGCCAGCAGCCGCGGUAAUACGUAGGUGGCAAGCGUUGUCCGGAUUUAUUGGGCGUAAAGCGAGCGCAGGCGGAAUGAUAAGUCUGAUGUGAAAGCCCACGGCUCAACCGUGGAACUGCAUCGGAAACUGUCAUUCUUGAGUGCAGAAGAGGAGAGUGGAACUCCAUGUGUAGCGGUGGAGUGCGUAGAUAUAUGGAAGAACACCAGUGGCGAAGGCGGCUCUCUGGUCUGCAACUGACGCUGAGGCUCGAAAGCAUGGGUAGCGAACAGGAUUAGAUACCCUGGUAGUCC
RNAcentral lists this ribosomal RNA (449 nucleotides) under uncultured bacterium. Its description in RNAcentral is "partial 16S ribosomal RNA". It matches the Rfam family "Bacterial small subunit ribosomal RNA", at positions 355 to 796 of the family's 1533-position model. The record is from RNAcentral.